This 391-nucleotide unclassified non-coding RNA is filed under the name soil metagenome. RNAcentral's name for it is "partial contains 5.8S ribosomal RNA, internal transcribed spacer 2, and large subunit ribosomal RNA". The stretch from base 1 to 122 matches the Rfam family "5.8S ribosomal RNA", at positions 35 to 154 of the family's 154-position model. The record is from RNAcentral.
GAUGAAGAACGUAGCGAAAUGCGAUACUUGGUGUGAAUUGCAGAAUCCCGUGAACCAUCGAGUCUUUGAACGCAAGUUGCGCCCGAAGCCAUUAGGCCGAGGGCACGCCUGCCUGGGCGUCACACGUCGUUGCCCCCCCAUCUACUCCUUCGGGAUUGCGGGGGGCGGAUGAUGGCCUCCCGUGCGCCUCGCCGCGCGGUUGGCAUAAAUGCCAAGUCCUCGGCGACGCACGCCACGACAAUCGGUGGUUGCGAAACCUCGGUUGCCCGUCGUGUGCGGUCGUCGCGCAUCGAGGGCUCGAAAAAAUUGCCGGGCUCCGGCUCGACUUUCAACGCGACCCCAGGUCAGGCGGGGUUACCCGCUGAAUUUAAGCAUAUCAAUAAGCGGAGGA